UUAGUGGAAGCGUCUGGAAAGGCGCGCGAUACAGGGUGACAGCCCCGUACACAAAAGCGCAUGUGCUGUGAGCUCGAUGAGUAGGGCGGGACACGUGGUAUCCUGUCUGAAUAUGGGGGGACCAUCCUCCAAGGCUAAAUACUCCUGACUGACCGAUAGUGAACCAGUACCGUGAGGGAAAGGCGAAAAGAACCCCGGCGAGGGGAGUGAAAAAGAACCUGAAACCGUGUACGUACAAGCAGUGGGAGCACCCUUUGGGGUGUGACUGCGUACCUUUUGUAUAAUGGGUCAGCGACUUAUAUUCUGUAGCAAGGUUAACCGAAUAGGGGAGCCGGAGGGAAACCGAGUCUUAACCGGGCGUUAAGUUGCAGGGUAUAGACCCGAAACCCGGUGAUCUAGCCAUGGGCAGGUUGAAGGUUGGGUAACACUAACUGGAGGACCGAACCGACUAAUGUUGAAAAAUUAGCGGAUGACCUGUGGCUGGGGGUGAAAGGCCAAUCAAACCGGGAGAUAGCUGGUUCUCCCCGAAAGCUAUUUAGGUAGCGCCUCGUGAAUUCAUCUCCGGGGGUAGAGCACUGUUUCGGCUAGGGGGCCAUCCCGGCUU
This 604-nucleotide ribosomal RNA is filed under the name Salmonella enterica subsp. enterica serovar Oranienburg. Its description in RNAcentral is "bacterial LSU rRNA". It matches the Rfam family "Bacterial large subunit ribosomal RNA", at positions 329 to 937 of the family's 2925-position model. The record is from RNAcentral. Lineage: Bacteria; Pseudomonadati; Pseudomonadota; Gammaproteobacteria; Enterobacterales; Enterobacteriaceae.